Molecule: ribosomal RNA, 120 nt
Filed under: uncultured bacterium
Lineage: Bacteria
Description: partial 16S ribosomal RNA
Rfam family: Bacterial small subunit ribosomal RNA
Source: RNAcentral
UCGCUUCGGGAUGGGCCCGCGGUCCAUCAGCUAGUUGGUAGGGUAAUGGCCUACCAAGGCGACGACGGAUAGCCGGCCUGAGAGGGCGAUCGGCCACAGGGGCACUGAGACACGGGCCCC